Salvelinus sp. IW2-2015 is the source of this 524-nucleotide non-coding RNA. Lineage: Eukaryota; Metazoa; Chordata; Actinopteri; Salmoniformes; Salmonidae. The record is from RefSeq and is a predicted model, not a curated record.
GUGUAGCCAGAUCCUUUUCACUCUCUAUCCUUGUUUCAUUUUGUGGUUCACCGGAUUCAUCAUCGAGACAAGGGACAGACGAACGACCUGCUAGCUAGCCAAGCUAGUCGGUACAGCUCGGUAAGCUAGCUACGAAAACAGCAGCAUCCUAGUUACCAUAGCUACCACUACAUCAUCACCGGCUGUCUACAUUUCUUGUGGACCGAUGGUGCUCCCCGGUUGUUUCUUCCACCUGUUAAAUCCGUGGAGGGCUUCUCCCUCUCUUGUUGACGGAUGCUGGAUACCUCUGUCCAGUUCUCCUCUCUUCACUAGAUGGACGGUAACUUUAGUGUUUAAACCCUCUGUGUCCAAGGACCGAACUUUUGAAUAUUAUUUUCGGGGCGCCUCAACAGCAGGUAUUGAACACCGGGUAAAUAAUCACUAGUCAGAACCUCAACCUCAGUAAACAUUCAUUAUAUAAAACAUCUUAAUAUCUGAUAUUGRGAGUAAACAACCUCGGAAUAGAAAAGACAAGAGUGCGUCUU